This is a long non-coding RNA of Solea senegalensis (Senegalese sole), 1325 nucleotides long. RefSeq lists it as uncharacterized. The record is from RefSeq and is a predicted model, not a curated record. The transcript has 2 exons. Lineage: Eukaryota; Metazoa; Chordata; Actinopteri; Pleuronectiformes; Soleidae.
GCUGCCGCCCUGCUUACUCACUGAACAACACGACAGACUGUGAACCGCUCUGGUUAUUAAUAAUUCACCACACUCCCGCGCUGCGCUGCGCUGCGCUUCACCGGCAAAGGCCACAGGACACCGCGCGUCCUUCUUACUGGUGCGUGCGUGCGUGUGCGCCCGCGCCGUAUCUCACCUCCAGCAUUUGUGUUUUUUACACACACACACACACACACACACACGGGGAGAGACGUGGAUUUCACCUUCUUGUUAUUGUGUCCUGCCUACAGGCUGCGCACAGUCCCCGGCGUGACAUUGCCCACUAAAGUCCCCGCGUGCACUCUCACCAACUGCGCGCUGCAGCGCCGCUCUGGUGUGUUUUGGUUCACUCGUCGUUCUUCUCUGCGACUUUGAGCGGACACUGAGGAGCAGGUGGUGGAGGAAGCAGCGAGGAGGAACUCCACACUUUUUUCCACGCGCAGCAGCAGCAGCAGCAGCAGGAGAAGCAGGAGAAGCAUGUACACGGAGGAACGCGCGCGGCGUCGUCGUCGUCUCUGAAGGAGCAACAGCUGAUUUGGUGCGAGCGCAGGAUAUACUCACUGUCGGCGCACAGCAGCAGCCUCACUCCUGCUCUGUCACUCGGGAUCAGACGGUGACUGUGUCGGUGGCGCAGAGCGCGCGGCCACUCCGUGGACUUUACAGCACCGGGGCAGAGUGGAAAGAGAGAGAGAGAGGGUGAGAGAGAGAGCGCGUGGCGGGGACGUCAUAAGUUGAACCCGAACAUAAACACUUUGCAUGAAGAAGCAGAAGAAUUGGAUUACACAGCUCCGUCCUCCGAGAAGAUCUGACUCCACAUUUCCAAAAUAAAAUGUUUACCGGACAUCAGGCCGCGUAUUAGUGCUGUUUUGCUUCCGGUAUAAGGCCCAGCUGAACAAGAACCCGAGCAGCGUUCUCUCUCUCUCUCUCCCACACACUUUUUUUUUUUUUUUGGAAGCCGAACUUUUCAGAGUGGAAAUGGGUCUUUGAGAGUGUUGGCACAUUUCCCCACACCACAAUGGCAACCGAAACCUUUCUCGUGAAUGAAGAACCCUCCCGAGGCCCUGGGAUGCCUGAAUGCUUUGUAGUAUCAGAUUCAUACAGGGUAUGCAUCAAUUAUUCUUAUUUCUUUUUAUUAUAAUUACUUCAUGUGUUGGUCCUAAAUGUGUUAUUUGAGUCAUUACUCAUUACUAUGACUGACAGUCUGUUUUCAUGCUCUCAGUAAUUGUACCACAAUCAUAAUGUCAUUCACAGCUCCCUCUACUCAGCUGCAAACCAUUACAAUCAUUAUUUCCACAGGCACAUUUAAG